RNAcentral lists this ribosomal RNA (429 nucleotides) under Acidobacteriota bacterium. Its description in RNAcentral is "Acidobacteria bacterium partial 16S ribosomal RNA". It matches the Rfam family "Bacterial small subunit ribosomal RNA", at positions 355 to 776 of the family's 1533-position model. Lineage: Bacteria; Pseudomonadati; Acidobacteriota. The record is from RNAcentral.
UGGGGAAUUUUGGACAAUGGGGGAAACCCUGAUCCAGCCAUCCCGCGUGUGCGAUGAAGGCCUUCGGGUUGUAAAGCACUUUUGGCAGGAAAGAAACGUCAUGGGUUAAUACCCCGUGAAACUGACGGUACCUGCAGAAUAAGCACCGGCUAACUACGUGCCAGCAGCCGCGGUAAUACGUAGGGUGCAAGCGUUAAUCGGAAUUACUGGGCGUAAAGCGUGCGCAGGCGGUUCGGAAAGAAAGAUGUGAAAUCCCAGAGCUCAACUUUGGAACUGCAUUUUUAACUAACGGGCUAGGGUGUGUCAGAGGGAGGUGGAAUUCCGCUUGUAGCAGUGAAAUGCGUAGAUAUGCGGAGGAACACCGAUGGCGAAGGCAGCCUCCUGGGAUAACACUGACGCUCAUGCACGAAAGCGUGGGGAGCAAACAGG